GGGUGCGUAGCUCAGCGGAAGAGCACCGUGUUCACACCGCGGGGGUCGCAGGUUCGAACCCUGCCGCACCCACCA
This 75-nucleotide transfer RNA is filed under the name Rhodospirillaceae bacterium. RNAcentral describes it as "tRNA-Val". It matches the Rfam family "tRNA". From Rfam's summary of the family: Transfer RNA (tRNA) molecules are approximately 80 nucleotides in length. Their secondary structure includes four short double-helical elements and three loops (D, anti-codon, and T loops). Lineage: Bacteria; Pseudomonadati; Pseudomonadota; Alphaproteobacteria; Rhodospirillales; Rhodospirillaceae. The record is from RNAcentral. RNAcentral also lists the same sequence under 4 other names.